Long non-coding RNA from Thalassophryne amazonica, 83 nucleotides. RefSeq lists it as uncharacterized. The transcript is spliced from 3 exons. The record is from RefSeq and is a predicted model, not a curated record. Lineage: Eukaryota; Metazoa; Chordata; Actinopteri; Batrachoidiformes; Batrachoididae.
GACAGCAGUCUGAGGGGGGUUACUUCCCCAGCUAAUGCUAGUACCCAUUUACACCUUGGUGGACUUGGACAAUACAGACGAAG